This is a long non-coding RNA of Rhineura floridana, 306 nucleotides long. RefSeq lists it as uncharacterized. The record is from RefSeq and is a predicted model, not a curated record. The transcript has 4 exons. NCBI's taxonomy places the organism in Eukaryota, Metazoa, Chordata, Lepidosauria, Squamata, Rhineuridae.
AUAAGACUGUGCUGAUGUCUGUUCUGGUAGACAUGCUUGUGGGAUCGCUGUCUCUGUUUACAUCUAAAUUCUGCUCUCCAUUGCUAACAUGCAACCCCCCCAUGCCUUCACUGAUAUGAGAAGAAUAGAUCAAAGAGAAGACUCAUGGUGUGACUGCAUCUGUCCAGGAGUUUAGCUUUCUCCCAGAAGACUCAGCAGAACAACAUGGUCUGCACAUCUCAUCAAUUUCUCAUUAGCGCUAACCAGGGAUUGUGUACUAAAGCACAAAUUUGGAGUGCAGGACAUUUCUGUCUGGAUAAGCAGCAU